Molecule: unclassified non-coding RNA, 353 nt
Filed under: soil metagenome
Description: partial contains 5.8S ribosomal RNA, internal transcribed spacer 2, and large subunit ribosomal RNA
Rfam family: 5.8S ribosomal RNA (bases 1-120)
Source: RNAcentral
GAUGAAUAACGCAGCGAAAUGCGAUAAGUAAUGUGAAUUGCAGAAUUCAGUGAAUCAUCGAAUCUUUGAACGCACAUUGCGCCCGCCAGUAUUCUGGCGGGCAUGCCUGUUCGAGCGUCAUUACAACCCUCAGGCCCCCGGGCCUGGCGUUGGGGAUCGGCGGAAGCCCCCUGCGGGCACAACGCCGUCCCCCAAAUACAGUGGCGGUCCCGCCGCAGCUUCCAUUGCGUAGUAGCUAACACCUCGCAACUGGAGAGCGGCGCGGCCACGCCGUAAAACACCCAACUUCUGAAUGUUGACCUCGAAUCAGGUAGGAAUACCCGCUGAACUUAAGCAUAUCAAUAAGCGGAGGA